AUGGAUACGAAUAUGGCCACACCUCGUCUUCUCCGCUUCAUCCUAGACCUGCAAAUAAGAAGAAAAGAGAAACGAGGGCAAUGUAGAGACUGCCGACUGGUCCUUCCAUAAUGUCUGUAUAGUUCCAUACAUCAUACUUACUAUACCAAGAUAUGACAAAACUAAUAAGAUGAAAAAUUUUAGCAUCUCUGUGUUAUUUUCCAUGCUUUAGCAUGUGUACAUUAGCAUCUCGUAUAUCUUAUCUACGGUUUAUUUUAUUCUUAACUUUUGCUAAAAAAGUCAGAUACAUGUGCGUAGAUACAAAAUUUUUCAAAUUGAUGGUUUCUCAUACCAGAAACCGUAGGGUUUAAAUCGAAAAUAUAGAUGGUUAGGAUAGACCUAACAAAAUCAUCAAAACAAUACGUGUUACUUCGAAGUUUUAGCAUGAGAAAUUACGUACCCGAUUUGAAGGGGGUUUGGAUGCAGUCUUGGUUAACCUCGAGAUUCCAAACCGGCAAAGAAUAAAAAGACAAAUCUAGAGAUUACCUUGAGAAAAACGAGGCGUGGUCCGUUGACGGUCCCACGGAUGGCGCCAAUGAAGAAGCAUGUCCCGAACGGGUCGGUACUUCUACGGUGAU
RNAcentral lists this long non-coding RNA (617 nucleotides) under Helianthus annuus (common sunflower). RNAcentral's name for it is "hypothetical non coding rna". The record is from RNAcentral. Lineage: Eukaryota; Viridiplantae; Streptophyta; Magnoliopsida; Asterales; Asteraceae.